CCUACGGGGGGCUGCAGUGGGGAAUAUUGGACAAUGGGGGCAACCCUGAUCCAGCCAUGCCGCGUGUGUGAAGAAGGCCCUCGGGUUGUAAAGCACUUUCAGUGAGGAAGAACGCCUUGUGGUUAAUACCCAUCAGGAAAGACAUCACUCACAGAAGAAGCACCGGCUAACUCCGUGCCAGCAGCCGCGGUAAUACGGAGGGUGCGAGCGUUAAUCGGAAUUACUGGGCGUAAAGCGCGCGUAGGUGGCUUGAUAAGCCGGUUGUGAAAGCCCCGGGCUCAACCUGGGAACGGCAUCCGGAACUGUCAAGCUAGAGUGCAGGAGAGGAAGGUAGAAUUCCCGGUGUAGCGGUGAAAUGCGUAGAGAUCGGGAGGAAUACCAGUGGCGAAGGCGGCCUUCUGGACUGACACUGACACUGAGGUGCGAAAGCGUGGGUAGCAAACAGGAUUAGAUACCCGAGUAGUC
This 465-nucleotide ribosomal RNA is filed under the name Vreelandella stevensii. RNAcentral describes it as "partial 16S ribosomal RNA". It matches the Rfam family "Bacterial small subunit ribosomal RNA", at positions 338 to 795 of the family's 1533-position model. The record is from RNAcentral. Lineage: Bacteria; Pseudomonadati; Pseudomonadota; Gammaproteobacteria; Oceanospirillales; Halomonadaceae.